CAUAGGUUAAUGAGGCGAACCGGGGGAACUGAAACAUCUAAGUACCCCGAGGAAAAGAAAUCAACCGAGAUUCCCCCAGUAGCGGCGAGCGAACGGGGAGGAGCCCAGAGCCUGAAUCAGUGUGUGUGUUAGUGGAAGCGUCUGGAAAGGCGCGCGAUACAGGGUGACAGCCCCGUACACAAAAAUGCACAUGCUGUGAGCUCGAUGAGUAGGGCGGGACACGUGGUAUCCUGUCUGAAUAUGGGGGGACCAUCCUCCAAGGCUAAAUACUCCUGACUGACCGAUAGUGAACCAGUACCGUGAGGGAAAGGCGAAAAGAACCCCGGCGAGGGGAGUGAAAAAGAACCUGAAACCGUGUACGUACAAGCAG
This 370-nucleotide ribosomal RNA is filed under the name Escherichia coli. RNAcentral describes it as "partial 23S ribosomal RNA". It matches the Rfam family "Bacterial large subunit ribosomal RNA", at positions 165 to 573 of the family's 2925-position model. The record is from RNAcentral. Lineage: Bacteria; Pseudomonadati; Pseudomonadota; Gammaproteobacteria; Enterobacterales; Enterobacteriaceae.